AACGAACGCUGGCGGCAGGCCUAACACAUGCAAGUCGAGCGGACCCUUCGGGGUUAGCGGCGGACGGGUGAGUAACGCGUGGGAACGUGCCCUUUGCUUCGGAAUAGCCCUGGGAAACUGGGAGUAAUACCGGAUACGCCCUUUUGGGGAAAGAUUUAUCGGCGAAGGAUCGGCCCGCGUUGGAUUAGGUAGUUGGUGGGGUAAUGGCCUACCAAGCCGACGAUCCAUAGCUGGUUUGAGAGGAUGAUCAGCCACACUGGGACUGAGACACGGCCCAGACUCCUACGGGAGGCAGCAGUGGGGAAUCUUAGAAAAUGGGGGAAACCCUGAUCUAGCCAUGCCGCGUGAGCGAUGAAGGCCUUAGGGUUGUAAAGCUCUUUCACCGGGGAAGAUAAUGACGGUACCCGGAGAAGAAGCCCCGGCUAACUCCGUG
RNAcentral lists this ribosomal RNA (433 nucleotides) under uncultured bacterium. RNAcentral describes it as "partial 16S ribosomal RNA". It matches the Rfam family "Bacterial small subunit ribosomal RNA", at positions 29 to 507 of the family's 1533-position model. The record is from RNAcentral.